Rhea pennata is the source of this 3928-nucleotide long non-coding RNA. RefSeq lists it as uncharacterized. Lineage: Eukaryota; Metazoa; Chordata; Aves; Rheiformes; Rheidae. The transcript has 2 exons. The record is from RefSeq and is a predicted model, not a curated record.
AAUCACGGCCUCGCCGUGCUGGGGCGGGAGAGGCCCUCGGCGGGGCGCAGGCCAGGACGCGCCCGUCUCACGAGGCCGGUGGGUGACUGUGCUGCCCGCUCUUGGGCCCUUUCAAGGGUUGUGGCUUGGGUCUGAUGUUUGGUGGCGGCGCUGAUGUUGCUCGCCGUCAGCAUGUGUGGCUUCUUGUGCCCAGCAGGAGGAGCUUUGCUUCAUCCUAGAGGCAGAUCCUCUCAGUGUAGACUGUAAUACUGUACACUCUAGAGGCUUAAACUAACGUCGAAGAAGCUGAUGGGGUGAAUGAGAUGGUAUAAGACCUUUCAGCAUGGUGUGGAAGCAGCCAGGUUAACUUGCAUCUGUAUUUUCUUACCUGCGUUAGCUGUCUAGUGUUGGUAUGGUUUAGCCUGCUGAUCAGCUUUUAGAUGCUCUCUUGGGUUCAGCAAGCCCUUGCACCCAGCAUACCUUCUGGCUGGUUUGGAGGACAGAGGCUAGAUUUUGAGCAGUGGGUUGUGAUUUCUCAGACUGAACAGUCAUGCCUGAUCAUACCAGGCUCCCUGCUGGGGAGUAGGAAAUGAUCCUUCUGUCAAACUGGAGAUUAGUUAAAUAUCUGUUAAUUUUUAGGAGCUUGGUGUUCCUUUGCUAGUCCUGAAAUGAUUUGUGGAGGAUCUUAACUCAAAACUGGGAGGGAAGGCAGACAUUGUUUGAAGGCUUGUAUGGUUUGUGAAAUAAUGCGUGUGUAAAAUAAUACGGUUUCUAGUCACAGCAGAUUCCUGUGAAAUAAAGUGCUUUAUUGCUUCAAGAAGAUACUUCAUUGAAAGGAGUUAAGAAGAGUUAUAUGGGCUUCCUGGAAAUUCUGGCUAAAGCCACGUAGUGGUGGAGUAGCUUAGGAAAAGGGGGUUAUAGCUUUAUGUUUUUAAAAUACUUUGGCUUUUCCUGGAGUGGUGCUUCUCUGGGGAAAAGGCAUGGAAACAUUGUUUUACAAGUACAGUUCUUUCAAUGCUUCAGUAUUUCUUCAGUCUUUCAGAUGUUUCUUCAUCUGAAGAUACUGCUGAUACCAUAAUUGCUAUAGCCCGUUGAAAUGUGGAAAUAAGGAAUUGACUUAAGCAACUGCCCAGGUGAAUGCCUAAGGCAAGAGACAAGUAUGGUAGAAUUCUGCGUGUUUUAUAGGUCACUUUCAUCAGUUCAGGGGUGCCUAAUAUUUGUCAGUGUGUGGAUUUUGCUUGUAGAUUACAACUUGUCAGAGGUUCUAACGAUGAAGCCUGUGUCACAUGUCUGAAACCUGCAUAUUCUUAUCACACUGUUCAUUUAGAAAGUGCUAAUGUCAAAGUCUCUUUUGUGACCCGACAGGUCUUAAUUGCAAGAUCCGUAACGGGCACACAAACAGGCUGCAGACUGUGGAAAUACCCGUUGUUUCAACACUUUAUAUAAAAGGCUUAAAGUGACACGAAGGCUGCCUUUGGCAUUUCUUAAAUACGUAGGUGGAGUCUGUUUUAAUGCCAUCUGUGAAAACUUAAUCCACCCGAUGGUCGUGAGGCUACUAUGCUGUUGCAUUUGUUUGUACUUGGACUUAGCAUCCUAUGCUGCAGAUCCUGCAGAUUGUCUUUGCUACUAAAGUGAUUUUAGCCAUGUGGGUCUUGGGUAAGCAGCCACCCAGUGUCCUGCAAGCCCCAGAAGAGGUUGGAUGCUCCUGCAGGAGGGAUAGGGAGGAUGAGGAUAUGUAAAAACAUGUAGCUACUCUGUUUGUCUUCUCAAAUUGCUUAGUCGAGGUCAUAUGUAGGAAUCUGGCUUCAUCUCUCAGCUUUCAUUCUGACAAGUUACUUCUUUUUAUGGAAACUUCAGGGGGUUAGCUGCUAUAAAUUCAGCCUUUACUAGAUAAUUAUUAAAAACAGGUCUGCAGACUGGAUGAGAAAUACAUGUUUGAGGUUAAACAUACACAAAAUAAGAAAGGUUGAACCUUUUACCUUCACCUGAACUGUGAAUUAGGCUGUAUCAUAAUGUAAUUUUAAGUGUUUGAUACCACAAUAUCAACAUCCAUGUCAGUGCACCACAGCAAAACUGCUGUCAAAAUGGUGAUUUCAGAGUUCCUGCAUAUUAAUUGUCAGUCCUUAUGUAAAUUCUUGCUACAUAAGUUAGCUGGAGUGAAAAUUUGUGUGCACUCAAAAAGUGGAGGAUUGUUGUUAAAGACUUGAUGAUGCUGACUGACUUGAACUGUGCUAGUCUUGGCACAUAAAAUACCAUAAAAUGCAGUUUUCUAAGUUACUCAGCCAUGAAACUUUGUAAGAGCUGCCCAUACUUUCUUGGUAAGGGUAUGGACUGGGAAAGAAAAGUGAGAGUUGAGAAACUUACAGACCAUUGCCUUUUAGAGCCUGUAAUGAGGGAAAGGGGCAGAUUAUUUAGCUUUCAAAUUUCUGCUCUGGUUUUAGAAGCUGAAGAAACUGCUCUUAAGGCUUUUGAUAUAUAAUGGCUCCACAUGGCUUCAGGAUGGUUUCCUGAAGAGUUAUUGGGGCUGCAAAGUAACUGAGUCAAUUCAGCAUGAGAUAAGUACUUUUAUAUACUACAUGAAUACUUUCAUAUGGUGUUAUUGUUUCCCAGUAUCUUAAUGAUAGCAAUAUAGAAAGAAAAGUAUGUUUUUAAGUACCUUACUGUCUACUCUGUUCUUAAGGAGAAAGUUUGGAAAAAUACAGGUAAGAGAAAAAGGCUUCUAUCUUCCUUCUUAGUUCUUUGACUUUGGGAAAUUCUAGUGAGGCAAAUGUUUAAACCAGUUUCUAGAACAUAGGAUUCCAGGGUAGCUGAAAGCUUACAUAGAGUUUCUCUGAAAUAAUUGUAGUAACUGAUGAAAACAAGAUACUAACAGUUACAUGUUUGUUCUUUCUCUCUCCCCUUCUCUCUCUUUCAGCACAAGAACAGUGCUUUAACAACUGUGAAGAGCUUUAAGUAGCAUGGACAUGUUCUCUAACUGAAACAUGGCAGCACUUCAAUAGCAGUUAUAUAACAGGAAAGGAGGUGCAAGCUGCUGCAAGUCCCUGGAUUCAUAGGAACUGGUUUCUGAAAGAACUGAUUUUUAUCACAGAUAAAAACUCAGAUUCUUUCAGAAUUUUUAACUCCUGUUGACUUCAGAUGAGACCUAAUGGCAGUACUGAAUCAGGAAAUUACUUCUAUCCUGGGCACUGGGGAAGGGGAUCCAAAUAGGAGAUUUAUAAAUGCUAUUCACUGUGAUGGGCCUGGGGGAAAACAGGCCAUCCAAAUGUAAGAGAUUGCAGAUGUGAAACUUGCUCCUGGGAAAAGCACACUAGUAUUGCCCAGAACUGGCUAAACAGAAGAAACUUUGGAAAUUGUGUGUGUUGUGCUGCUCCUUCUUGUUAGGUAUGGAUGUAUUUAUUCAGGUAGGAUGGUCUAAAGUGACCAUUGAAAACUAGGAUCAUAGGCAAAAGAGUUUCCCAUUUCUGAUGAGAGUAUAUGUUCAUCCAUGCAGUUCAGAACCACCAGAGCAGCAUCAGGCUUGAACAAAUAUGAUAAUACUGCCUGCUUAAAAUAAUAGCCUGGCUUGGUCCACCUGACUCCUGCUGAGCUAACUGACUUACUGCGAAGCACUGUACUGAAGACUUCCCCACCCUGAACUGCUGGAGAAUUUGACACACAAAUGCAACUUAGGGUUCAGUGCAGGGUGUAAAUCCUGUGGUUGCCAGCAUUUUAAUAUAUUCAAAGAUGGACCUUGCAGUUAAUCUGGGAAAAGAUGAGAAUGUGCUGAAUGUGUGUGGUGUGCACUUCAGUACAUAACUCACAGUUAAACUAAUGGAUUGCACUAAGUUGAGUAUUGUGAUGAGGUAACACUAGGUGUGGACCCCUCUCCACACCACUAAUCUUGGAUGGAUCUAUUUUUGUAUGUGUUCAAGUAAACUUGAGCUGGUAGCUGGCAGUGUUUUUCUGGCAA